This 603-nucleotide long non-coding RNA is filed under the name Medicago truncatula (barrel medic). Its description in RNAcentral is "lncRNA gene33351". The record is from RNAcentral. Lineage: Eukaryota; Viridiplantae; Streptophyta; Magnoliopsida; Fabales; Fabaceae.
GAAAAAUCCAUAGUGUUGGGUUUAUUAUACUUUUGGUGAAACUUAACCCAUGUCAUUGACCUAUGUCGAUUGAUGUUGUCAUGACUGGUUUGAAAAUGUUUAAUGGUUGGGUUAAAGGAGUUAAGCUAAUUAAGUAUAUGUUUGCAUUUUUUGCUUGCCUACCGAGGGACUUGCUGUGCUGGUUAUCCGUAAUGCGGAUAAAAUGAACUCUGCAAAGAAGGCUAAUGCUGGAACUAUAUCAAUUGAUGAGAUGGCUGGAGGCACUCUUACAAUAUCAAAUGGUGGUGUUUACGGCAGUCUUUUUAGUACCCCUAUUAUCAACCCACCUCAGGUUUGCAUGUUCUGCUAAGAAGGCACUUAUUAUGGUUUAUAUUUUAUAGUACAUUCUUAGGUUUAGGGUAAUAUUUAAUCGUUGGCUGCUCUCUUCUUCAAAUGACCCCCCAUGAAAUAUGUUUGAUGACAAGUAGGUCGAACCAUCAGUGGUUUCAUGUGUUGUGUCGUCGUAUCAUGUGACCAGAUGCAUGCCCACUAGUAACUUAUCAAAAUGAAUUUUGUUUUCUCAUUACACAAUCAAUAAAAUUAAAAAUGCCUCUCAAACUUGGC